ACCAGGGUAACCUAGUGGACAUGGCAUCUGCUCGGUAAGCGGAACAUUGUGGGUUCGUUUCCCACCCUUAGACA
Non-coding RNA from Cordylochernes scorpioides, 74 nucleotides. The record is from the annotation of a GenBank genome assembly. Lineage: Eukaryota; Metazoa; Arthropoda; Arachnida; Pseudoscorpiones; Chernetidae.